This is a long non-coding RNA of Numida meleagris (helmeted guineafowl), 1999 nucleotides long. RefSeq lists it as uncharacterized. The transcript is spliced from 2 exons. NCBI's taxonomy places the organism in Eukaryota, Metazoa, Chordata, Aves, Galliformes, Numididae. The record is from RefSeq and is a predicted model, not a curated record.
ACGCGGCCGCGUGUGGCACGGCGCCGUCCUGGCGGCGGGGAGCUGCCCCGGGGCGCCGCCACGGGCCGCGGCUUCGGGAAAGGCGCUUUAACGACGGGCUUGGGAAGUCCUGCGUGAGGUUUGCUCUUCCUUUUCUGUUGGAAAGCCCUGCAGAGUGACGGCUGCCCGGUCAGUGACGCUUGGCUUGGUUACCGGUGCCGCAGAACUCGAAUGCGAUGCACAGUGCUGAAGGAUCUCAAGGGUGUGUGGAGCACGUACCCGCGCAGCCGGUCUGUGCGCCGGGGCGCUCAGCGCAAGGAAUCAAAGCACCCUUAUAAUGCUGAACUUGAGUUCGAACUCCGAGCGGGCUGUGAGUGCCACGGGAAGCUUCCCCCCGGGCUUCUGGCACGGCCAGAGCCGCGUGGCUUGGCUGAGCUGGGCUGGCUGAGCGCGCUGGGACCUCGCGGCUCUGCACUCCUCUCCCAUCGAGCUCCUGGAACUGGCUGUCGGAGGCCGGAGCCCUGCAAGCGGCAUCGCUCAGCUUUUCAAGUUAUGGGACGGUUGUGCUCUGCGUAAUUUGCAGUUGAAAAUGUGUCUUAAUUAUCAUCAGGGCAUAAUCACAAGAGUUGUGAACAAAAUUUUGAGGAGGAGAAUGAGAGAAAUGGAAAGUCAGUUCCAAGCACGUGUUGAUGCUCAGGGUACAGAGGUCUUGUGUAUCUGCCUACUUUAGACUGGUUGGGGUCAGCGGCUUCGGUCCAUCCAUUACUGGCACAGUUACCUUUGGGAAAUCCAGCUCCUGGCAUUGGGAGGGUUGGCAUAAUGCAAAGUGAGAAUAGAGUAUUGCUGGAGAGACUUCCUCUGCAAUAUAUAUAUAAUGGAUAUGAAUAAGUUAAACAUUUAGAAGAUUAAAAUACAGAGCUCAUGCUAUUGUAGGAAAAGCAUCUAAUUAUUGUGUUCUGCUGAUUUUAUUUCAUAAGGAGAAAGGAGAACUUCUGUAAACUCUCUUGAAGGUAUGAUGGAAAGAUUUCCUUACCAGUGGUUCUCUAAAACCUGCCUAACGAGAGGAAAAAAGUCUUUCUGUAACAGCUUUGAGCUCAGGUUCUGUUUUUUAACUUGAGCGUAUGCUUUGUUAAAGAGCUUCUCGCUGUCUGAAUGUCUCCUUUUUACAUAUUUGGUAUAUAUUUUAUGACUGGCGAAUGUUAAUGUUUCAUUGCAGAAAUCACUUGACAGUGUUGAUGGUAUUACUACAGAGCUGCAAUAUGGAAAAUGGUUUUCUCUGAGUCAAACUAAUGAGCUGGCCUAAUGCACUUCCAUCCUUCUCCCUGUCCCCUUCAGAGUGGCUCUGUGUGUGAAGAAGCAUUCAUGCUGUGGUGUGGUGGUAGCAGAGCGGAUCGGGUUGUGCGUCAGUGGGCUCCUGGUGUUGGGAGUGCUACGGCAUGUCAUGUGGUUUGGGUGCUGGGUUUUGAACUUUGCGUGUUUGUGUGAAUACAUCGGGUGAUGAAUUGUCAUCCUGGAAGUUGUGAGGAUUAGCCUAUGGCUAGGAAAAAGGAAUGAAUUCAGAUCUGAUAGCAAAUAGAAUAAUUCUGCAAUCUUAUCGGCAGGUCUAAGAGCAUUUGGUCAGACUUUCUGACUGGGUUUCGUUCAGUUUCUUCACAACUGGGUAACUGCUGCUUCUGUACCGAGCAGCUGGUGCGAGGCUCAAUUUCUGUUCAGCAUUCUUAAGCACCUUACCUGUGACAUGAACUUGGAGUGUGUUUCUGGGGGAAGAAAGAGAGGGAACCUCUUUAUUCCUCUAAGUGUGAUUCCCUUAUGUAAGUGAAUUUCAGUCACCAUUGGAAAUUUUUAAUUUGAGAAGUAUAGAAAAAGAAGCACACGGCCAUCAUAAAUGCUUAUGUUGCAUCUUUCUCUCUGACAAAAUUGUGAUCAUAAUACUGUUUUAAAAUGUAUGUGUAAACUCAUGGUUUUCUUCAUCAUGUGAAAGAGACCUCUAAUUCAAAAAUAAAGGAAAUAUUUGUUGUAA